UCUGGGUCGUUGAAAAAGAGCUGGUCGAUCUUUGUCCCAUUUCCAUCCUCCAUUGUCCUCUUAAUGUACUUGGUGUUGAACUCUUUCAAUCUUCCCUCCAUUUCUUCCAUAUCUUCACACUGCAUGGUUUACUGUUUUUUUUUUUAAAAAAA
Hibiscus syriacus is the source of this 152-nucleotide long non-coding RNA. RefSeq lists it as uncharacterized. The transcript has 3 exons. Lineage: Eukaryota; Viridiplantae; Streptophyta; Magnoliopsida; Malvales; Malvaceae. The record is from RefSeq and is a predicted model, not a curated record.